CCUACGGGUGGCAGCAGUGAGGAAUAUUGGUCAAUGGGCGUAAGCCUGAACCAGCCAAGCCGCGUGAGGGAUGAAGGUUCUAAGGAUCGUAAACCUCUUUUAUAAGGGAAUAAAGUGUGGGACGUGUCCUAUUUUGUAUGUACCUUAUGAAUAAGGAUCGGCUAACUCCGUGCCAGCAGCCGCGGUAAUACGGAGGAUCCGAGCGUUAUCCGGAUUUAUUGGGUUUAAAGGGUGCGUAGGCGGUCUUUUAAGUCAGCGGUGAAAGUCUGUGGCUCAACCAUAGAAGUGCCGUUGAAACUGGGGGGCUUGAGAAUGUUUGAGGCAGGCGGAAUGCGGGGUGUAGCGGUGAAAUGCUUAGAUAUCGCGCAGAACCCCGAUUGCGAAGGCAGCCUGCCAGGCCAUGACUGACGCUGAUGCACGAAAGCGUGGGGAUCAAACAGGAUUAGAUACCCGAGUAGUC
RNAcentral lists this ribosomal RNA (460 nucleotides) under uncultured bacterium. RNAcentral's name for it is "partial 16S ribosomal RNA". It matches the Rfam family "Bacterial small subunit ribosomal RNA", at positions 338 to 795 of the family's 1533-position model. The record is from RNAcentral.